RNAcentral lists this ribosomal RNA (497 nucleotides) under uncultured bacterium. RNAcentral's name for it is "partial 16S ribosomal RNA". It matches the Rfam family "Bacterial small subunit ribosomal RNA", at positions 28 to 507 of the family's 1533-position model. The record is from RNAcentral.
GAUGAACGCUGGCGGCGUGCCUAAUACAUGCAAGUCGAGCGAACAGACGAGGAGCUUGCUCCUCUGACGUUAGCGGCGGACGGGUGAGUAACACGUGGAUAACCUACCUAUAAGACUGGGAUAACUUCGGGAAACCGGAGCUAAUACCGGAUAAUAUAUUGAACCGCAUGGUUCAAUAGUGAAAGACGGUUUUGCUGUCACUUAUAGAUGGAUCCGCGCCGCAUUAGCUAGUUGGUAAGGUAACGGCUUACCAAGGCAACGAUGCGUAGCCGACCUGAGAGGGUGAUCGGCCACACUGGAACUGAGACACGGUCCAGACUCCUACGGGAGGCAGCAGUAGGGAAUCUUCCGCAAUGGGCGAAAGCCUGACGGAGCAACGCCGCGUGAGUGAUGAAGGUCUUCGGAUCGUAAAACUCUGUUAUUAGGGAAGAACAAAUGUGUAAGUAACUAUGCACGUCUUGACGGUACCUAAUCAGAAAGUCACGGCUAACUACGUG